This 89-nucleotide small nucleolar RNA is filed under the name Trachymyrmex cornetzi. RNAcentral's name for it is "Small nucleolar RNA SNORD70". It matches the Rfam family "Small nucleolar RNA SNORD70". Rfam says of the family: snoRNA HBII-234 belongs to the C/D family of snoRNAs. The record is from Rfam by way of RNAcentral. Lineage: Eukaryota; Metazoa; Arthropoda; Insecta; Hymenoptera; Formicidae.
UUUAAUGUAUAUCAAUGAUGCAUAUCUAUAAUUUUGAAAAUUAAUUGUGAUAUAUUAUAAUUCGUCACUACCACUGAGCGAACAUUAAA